Molecule: long non-coding RNA, 745 nt
Organism: Lolium rigidum
Lineage: Eukaryota; Viridiplantae; Streptophyta; Magnoliopsida; Poales; Poaceae
Exons: 3
Source: RefSeq, a predicted model, not a curated record
UGGCUGUUAGGUUCCAGUGCCUGAAAAAUAUUUGCUUUUCCUUACAUUGGCUGCUGGGCUCUAUUGUUCCUGGCAUGAGUAGUCGGCAUUCUGGUGGCCACCGGCAAGGCGUGUCUCCUUCCGAUGCCAUCUAUUCUGUCCACAGUAAGCGUGCUAACCCCUUGGGCCUUGGCCUUUGGGUAAGGAAGGCAUGGCAGGUCUACUGAUCUCCGGAGAACGCAUGAAUAAUUCUAGAGAAAGCAACAGCGGCCUCAUAUAUUUUCCUUUGCGAAAGAUCAAUGUUUUUAUAUCCAACAAGUCCUCAACUGUGAUAGCCCAGGUGAUAUUGUUGGACUUCCCCAUUUAGAUGAGGCCUACAGUACCGGUGUUUUAUUCUGGUCCAAGAAAUCCUAGCUCUCACUUACUAGGAUGAUACUUGGUCCUAUAAAUGGUGAACUCCAGGCUUUAGCACCUAAGAUGAGGCUUGCAGUGCCUGUAUUUUAUUGGUCUCCAAGAAAUCCUAGCUCUUGCUUAUGAGAUCAAUACUUGGUCCUAUAAAUGGGGAACUCCUGGUUUUAGCACCUAAGUUAUAUAAAGUUCCCACUGGAAAUUAUAUAAUCCCUUAAAAGGAUGGUAUUUGGAUAAACAAGUUAGAUGCUUUUCAAAUUCCAAUGGAGAAGAUAUUUUCUGUUUAUAAUUUUCAUUGCACUUGGGACAUGACGAGAUGGAGGCUCAUAGUAUUACAUGAGUUAUGGGAAAUUCUACA